AGAGUUUGAUCCUGGCUCAGGAUGAACGCUAGCGGCAGGCUUAAUACAUGCAAGUCGUGGGGCAGCAUGACUGUAGCAAUACAGUUGAUGGCGACCGGCAAACGGGUGCGGAACACGUACACAACCUUCCUUUUAGUGGAGAAUAGCCCAGGGAAACUUGGAUUAAUACUCCGUAACAUAUAGAAGUGGCAUCACUUUUAUAUUAUAGCAGCAAUGCGCUAGAAGAUGGGUGUGCGGCUGAUUAGAUAGUUGGCGGGGUAACGGCCCACCAAGUCGACGAUCAGUAACUGGUGUGAGAGCACGACCAGUCACACGGGCACUGAGACACGGGCCCGACUCCUACGGGAGGCAGCAGUAAGGAAUAUUGGUCAAUGGACGCAAGUCUGAACCAGCCAUGCCGCGUGGAGGAUGAAGGUCCUCUGGAUUGUAA
Molecule: ribosomal RNA, 430 nt
Filed under: uncultured bacterium
Lineage: Bacteria
Description: bacterial SSU rRNA
Rfam family: Bacterial small subunit ribosomal RNA
Source: RNAcentral